Molecule: ribosomal RNA, 497 nt
Filed under: uncultured bacterium
Lineage: Bacteria
Description: partial 16S ribosomal RNA
Rfam family: Bacterial small subunit ribosomal RNA
Source: RNAcentral
GAUGAACGCUGGCGGCGUGCCUAAUACAUGCAAGUCGAGCGAACAGACGAGGAGCUUGCUCCUCUGACGUUAGCGGCGGACGGGUGAGUAACACGUGGAUAACCUACCUAUAAGACUGGGAUAACUUCGGGAAACCGGAGCUAAUACCGGAUAAUAUAUUGAACCGCAUGGUUCAAUAGUGAAAGACGGUUUUGCUGUCACUUAUAGAUGGAUCCGCGCCGCAUUAGCUAGUUGGUAAGGUAACGGCUUACCAAGGCAACGAUGCGUAGCCGACCUGAGAGAGUGAUCGGCCACACUAGAACUGAGACACGGUCCAGACUCCUACGGGAGGCAGCAGUAGGGAAUCUUCCGCAAUGGGCGAAAGCCUGACGGAGCAACGCCGCGUGAGUGAUGAAGGUCUUCGGAUCGUAAAACUCUGUUAUUAGGGAAGAACAAAUGUGUAAGUAACUAUGCACGUCUUGACGGUACCUAAUCAGAAAGCCACGGCUAACUACGUG